Molecule: ribosomal RNA, 254 nt
Filed under: uncultured bacterium
Lineage: Bacteria
Description: partial 16S ribosomal RNA
Rfam family: Bacterial small subunit ribosomal RNA
Source: RNAcentral
GACAGAGGGUGCAAACGUUGCUCGGAAUCACUGGGCGUAAAGGGCGUGUAGGCGGGAAGGAAAGUCGGGCGUGAAAUCCCUGGGCUCAACCCCAGGAACUGCACUCGAAACUUCUUUUCUUGAGUGCCGGAGAGGAAAGCGGAAUACCUGGUGUAGAGGUGAAAUUCGUAGAUAUCAGGUGGAACACCAGUGGCGAAGGCGGCUCACUGGUCCGGUACUGACGCUGAGGUGCGAAAGCGUGGGGAGCAAACAGG